This 300-nucleotide ribosomal RNA is filed under the name Triticum aestivum (bread wheat). RNAcentral's name for it is "partial small subunit ribosomal RNA". Lineage: Eukaryota; Viridiplantae; Streptophyta; Magnoliopsida; Poales; Poaceae. The record is from RNAcentral.
AUGGCUGCCGCUCGCCGUCGCGAACCGCCGCGGCCACCGGCCUCCAGUCGUCGCACCAUCGUGCCCAUCCGCUACUCCGACCUCCUCUUCAUGGUCUUCGACGACGGGAUCAAGCUCGGGACCCCUACCUCGUCGGAUCGUCCUCGUCUCCCCUCUGUGCCCCGCCGAGCGGCGAGAGAGUGCAAGGACACCGGCAGCAACUACAGCUGCCUCUGCCGCGCACACCGUGCCCUACCCCCGUCCAUGCGCGCCCGCACCCGCUACGUCCUGGAGCCCGAAUCGUGCCCGUUCGCCCGCUAA